RNAcentral lists this small RNA (78 nucleotides) under Flavobacterium degerlachei. RNAcentral's name for it is "Flavo-1 RNA". It matches the Rfam family "Flavo-1 RNA". The record is from RNAcentral. Lineage: Bacteria; Pseudomonadati; Bacteroidota; Flavobacteriia; Flavobacteriales; Flavobacteriaceae.
CCCUAGCCCUGAUAGCAGUGGAAAUCCUUAUAUGCCGGUGUUCGGCAUAUAAGAUUGUAAUGAAUAGCAGGAAAUAGC